This 284-nucleotide ribosomal RNA is filed under the name Dysmachus dasyproctus. Its description in RNAcentral is "partial small subunit ribosomal RNA". It matches the Rfam family "Eukaryotic small subunit ribosomal RNA", at positions 1553 to 1829 of the family's 1831-position model. The record is from RNAcentral. Lineage: Eukaryota; Metazoa; Arthropoda; Insecta; Diptera; Asilidae.
GCUGAAACACUUUCAUGCUUGGGAUUGUGAACUGAAACUGUUCACAUGAACCUGGAAUUCCCAGUAAGUGCGAGUCAUUAACUCGCAUUGAUUACGUCCCUGCCCUUUGUACACACCGCCCGUCGCUACUACCGAUUGAAUUAUUUAGUGAGGUCUCCGGACGUGAUCGCUGUGACGCCUUUUAAGGUUUUACGGUUGUUUCGCAAAAGUUGACCGAACUUGAUUAUUUAGAGGAAGUAAAAGUCGUAACAAGGUUUCCGUAGGUGAACCUGCGGAAGGAACAA